Long non-coding RNA from Pseudophryne corroboree (corroboree frog), 1485 nucleotides. RefSeq lists it as uncharacterized. NCBI's taxonomy places the organism in Eukaryota, Metazoa, Chordata, Amphibia, Anura, Myobatrachidae. The transcript is spliced from 4 exons. The record is from RefSeq and is a predicted model, not a curated record.
GAAAAUCAUCAGCUGGUGGUCUGUAUGCUCUGCUGAAGCUCCACUCCAUGCUGAGUGUCUGUUACAUACAUACAGUUACUUUUUUGGAACCCCGGCAUAACACACCCCACCUGUAUAACCAUCGAUGGAUUCAGGCAUCUUAAACUUAUUAAGGUCACAUGGAGCUGGGACAGAUUGAUGCUCAUCUUCCACAACUUCUGCUGUGUGAGACAACAGAAGAAAAGAAAUUCUCCUGUGUAAAGAACUUAGAGUUUGUUUUCGCUGCCACAACUGGUAAAUGGAUUAGAAAGCAUCCAGCAGAUGAGGAAUAUGGGAAUUGAAUUUCUACUAAGUUAAAUUUGAGAUUUAAACUUUAUCCACUUUAUUUUACUUCUAAGUAGAUGAGAAAUAAAUGAAACGCCAAGUGUGUUUAAAAUGCAAAAGACAUAGAACAAUUCCAAGACAAUUAAAUGAUGAUAAAUGAUGAACUUUGAAUACAAUCAAGACAAAUGUGAAAUCUCAUAAUCAGAUUACUUAUUGUUGUUACUUACCCAUGGCUUUCUAUAUCUUACUAAAUGCAAUGAUAUGUAUUGCACUUCUGUCUGUGCUUGUUUAUAUAUCAGUUGUUUGUUGUUCUUGAUCUGAGGAACAACACAAUCCUGGCGGGGGAAUUCAGCUGGAAUGUAUGAAGGGUGGGGGCUGUAGGUCAUAAUCGCAAUUUACAACAUUGUACCAAGGGCCAGAGCAGGGCAAAAAUUCACCCUGUGUCAGACCCAGCCCCUGAAAUGUGACAUGACAUCACAAUAUGGGGGCGGGGCUGAUGACACUAGGGAGAAGCUCAAUGUUGGUAUUUAUACAAAAAAUUGGGAUGAAAAACCUCUGUAGCGCUCACAAAAUUAGGCAAUCUUUGGAUAUUAAUAUGAAUGUUAAAAUAUAAGUCCAUCAAUGUUAGAAGGAAGAAUCCCACUAGGUUUCGUUCUCAAUGAUGCACAUGAACAUGAAACAAAACUACAAAAAGAGGAAAACUACAGUGCCUUAAUUCCUUAUUGUAAAAUCCACAUGUUCCUUUAAUCCUUAAGGGUCACCCUUGUGAAGAGGCAAUAUUUCCUGCUCACAUGUAUGCUUACAUUCACCCGUGUAUUGUCACACCUAUCAAGGUUUCUUUAAAAAAUCAGACUCAAUCUGACAGCAUCAGAGUAAUCGCACACUCAGUGGGUAGAUACAAUACAAAUCGAUGCUCACAUGAACGCUUACAUGUAAAUAGGUGUUCUGUUCAUGUAGCGUUUCUUUGUCACCUUUUGUUACUUCUACGGUUCCCAUUUAUGCUUGUAUAGCUCGGUAUAAAGCACAAGCAUGGGGGAAUCGGUGAAGAGGUUUUCACACACAAUUUAUUGAAUAAAAUCAACAUAAAAAAGUAAUCAAACUAAAAACAAAUGCUCUUCAGUCUGCCAAAUACUCCUGCCAAUAGUGCAGAUAUAAACUCUAAACCAUUUGGGAGAAAAAGAG